CAAUAUAUUGGUUGAUGCGUAUUGCAAAGAAGGAAUGGUUAAAGAUGCAGAGGAUGUGAUAGAGUUGAUGAUUCAAAAAGGAGUAGAUCCUGAUGUAGUCACUUACAGCUCACUCAUGGAUGGAU
This 125-nucleotide microRNA precursor is filed under the name Daucus carota subsp. sativus. Its description in RNAcentral is "sRNA DCAR_mi00216". Lineage: Eukaryota; Viridiplantae; Streptophyta; Magnoliopsida; Apiales; Apiaceae. The record is from RNAcentral.